Molecule: ribosomal RNA, 432 nt
Filed under: uncultured bacterium
Lineage: Bacteria
Description: partial 16S ribosomal RNA
Rfam family: Bacterial small subunit ribosomal RNA
Source: RNAcentral
GCGAACGCUGGCGGCAGGCUUAACACAUGCAAGUCGAGCGGGCACUUCGGUGUCAGCGGCAGACGGGUGAGUAACACGUGGGAACGUACCCUUUGGUUCGGAAUAACGCUGGGAAACUAGCGCUAAUACCGGAUACGCCCUUUUGGGGAAAGGCUUGCUGCCGAAGGAUCGGCCCGCGUCUGAUUAGCUAGUUGGUGGGGUAAUGGCCUACCAAGGCGACGAUCAGUAGCUGGUCUGAGAGGAUGAUCAGCCACACUGGGACUGAGACACGGCCCAGACUCCUACGGGAGGCAGCAGUGGGGAAUAUUGGACAAUGGGCGCAAGCCUGAUCCAGCCAUGCCGCGUGAGUGAUGAAGGCCUUAGGGUUGUAAAGCUCUUUUGUCCGGGACGAUAAUGACGGUACCGGAAGAAUAAGCCCCGGCUAACUUCGUG